Contarinia nasturtii (swede midge) is the source of this 3661-nucleotide long non-coding RNA. RefSeq lists it as uncharacterized. The transcript has 7 exons. Lineage: Eukaryota; Metazoa; Arthropoda; Insecta; Diptera; Cecidomyiidae. The record is from RefSeq and is a predicted model, not a curated record.
UUCCAAACCAACAAGUCGGCAACAAGUCACAUCGUGUCGAACCAUCACCAGUGUAUGAACUAAAAUUGCUGCGCAUAAAUUUUUAGUUUGCAUUAAAAGUGAAAUAUUCUAGCGAAUUGGAUUUUUGUCGGUUUUCCAGAAAAAGUGUUCGGAACAACAAAUCGGACACAUCAAAUGUCGAAGAAGAAUAUGGACACAUUUUUAGUUCUUACACUGGGAAUCGUUCACAAGCCGACCACAAACGAUGUCAGAACCUGGAAAAUAUGAAUACAAAGGAUCGUUUCUUAGUUUGCCCCAACUACGAACCGGUCCACAAUCGUAUUAUUUCCGGCAACCAUACAAACACACCAAGCAAUAGACCAACUACCACAAACCGAUGAAUAUGAAUACAAAGGAUCGUUUCUUAGUUUGCCCCAACUACGAACCGGUCCGCUAUCGUGUUCUUUUCGGCAACCAUACAAACACACCGAGCAAUAGACCAAUACCAUAAAUCGGUGAAUAUGAAUACAAAGGAUCGGUAGUGGCCUUGGCCACAAUAAUCAUAUUUGGGUUUUUCAAACAAUAAAAUAGAUGAAACCAACUUAAAGUCUAAAAUAAUUUAUAUUUUCAUUUUUUAUUUAGUUUCGAAAGUCUUUAGACGGGAUUCAAGUUUUUCUUCUUCCUGGUUAACGAAGCAAUUUAAACAUUACCGAAAAAUUAUAAUUUUGAAAUUCAUAAUCCUGAAGAUAAACGAAUUUACUUAUUUCUGUUGCAAUGAAGCUGCAAAUGGAAUGAAGAAAAUAGAGAAAUAAUAAUUCAAUUAGAUUGAUAUGAAAAAAAUUGACUUUAUUCAUAAUCAUCAUGCUAUAUACAAUAAACAAUUUAUACCAAAAGGUAUCUCGUACUUCAACAGGCGAGAAUUUAAUCAAGCCUAGCGAACUAACAAAUAAUUGUUAUAAACUAAUUUCUAAAUUAAGUGUUGUUGUGAGCACGAUAUCAUAUAGUGGUAAGCGAUGAUUGUGCUCCAGCAGCUCCGUCGAUUUCAACGUUAACAGCACUUUUUAGCCAUGAUUUUAAGAAGCGUUGCUUCUUUGACACCAAACGGCCUGCAUUAGUCUGCGAGUGCCUGGACACCGCACAUUUUUCUUGAUCUCAAUCGGCAAAUUAGAUGUAGAAAAUUAACUGUUGGUAUUCGCCAAUAUGAGUGCAUAUUGCUUAUAUGUGUAUAGUUCAAUGACAUUGUUCAUUACUCGUAGCCGAUGUUCAAUGUACGAACGACAUGCAGGUCCUUUUAGCGAUGGCAUUUCACCCAAAGUAACCUUCUCCUCGAAUGUGAACAAUCUUGUGAUUCUUUUGGCUUUUGCAUCUAAACAGCCUCGUUUCGCAUCCCAAUGAUACCGUUUGCUGGACUCGUUCGCAAAUUCACCUUACAAAAUAAGAGCAACAAAAAGGGUAUUUUAUUCACAAUCACGUUUAUUCAUUGUAAAAAAGCAAAACUACCUCUUCUUUGGUAUCCAAAUCUCGCCCGGAUCACAUCCAACAGCAUAUUUUAGUUUUCUGCUUGCGUAAAUUUCCAUGAUUUUGGCAUCACUUCGACCGGUAGCACUUUUAACUUUUUGUACAGUAUCAACACUGAUACACUAACCGAACAAAUUUGGCAAUCGAAAUCCUUCUUGAAAUGUUUAAACCAGUUGUUUAAUUUUAUCCGAAGGAGUUAUCCACCAAACUAGAAAAACAGAAGUGUUAAUUUGGGUACAAAUUGUACGAAAAAAUACUGAGAGAACCAACUUCAGUCCAGUACUUCAAUGGUACAAAAUUUACACUCAGGAUUGGUAAUGCGUUCUUAGGUUGGUUGAAACGUUGUCGAGGUAUUGCUCCCACAAGUACUGGAAUCCGUUGCCGAGUCCACCAUUUGUUGGUCAAUCGAUACUGACGAAAAUCGGAUAGCAUAAACUAGACUUUGUCGAUGUUGGGAUGUUGUCACUAGUACACAGAGAGAAAAAAAUGUGGUAUUUUUAAUUCAAUUUUGGUAGAUUUAAUAUAAAAUCAACCAACAACGAAUUAAAUUUACCAUUUUUGACAUCUCUGAGGCAUAUUUUUCAAAAGAGACUAUUAGUUGAAUAAGUUUUACCAAUUUCUUCAUUACAUUCACCAAAUUCAUGGGCUAGCGUCAUCUGUGGUUUCGAAAAGUUGGUAAAUGUAAUGAAGCAGUUAGUAAAACUUAUUAUAAUAUUUUAUUCAACAAGUAGUCACAUUUGAAAAAUGUGCCUCAGAGAUGUCAAAAAUGGUAAAUUUAAUUCGUUGUUGGUUGAUUUUAUAUUAAACCUACCAAACUUGAAUUAAAAAUACCACAUUUUUUCUUUCUGUAUACGGCCAGAAAACGUUGAAUCAUGCUGGAUCCAUCACUUUUUUUUGCAAAACACAUUAAAAUCACAAGAAAGGAAUCAAUUGUAAACAAAUGCUGUUUGUCAUCGGUUUGACGUGCACAGCAGCCAACUGUCAAAUAUCAUAUUAAUACGUUUCGGAUUCGAAAUUCGAGUUUGCAUUUAUGAAAUCAAAAAAGAAUAAAUGCAAUGGUAAACGCUUAAAAAAAUUCUUCUGCCGAAACUAAAAUCAAAUCACUCAAAUAAUUGUUUAUUACUUUUUUUACGACAAAGGAAUCAUUAGAGUUGAAAUAAAUAAUAAUAAAAACUUGACGAAGUAUUGAGUCAGGUUCACAUUAUGCUGUGGAAAGUGGGAACUAUACAUAUAAUCUACCUUUUAUUUAACACGAAAAUUACCAUCAAAAUGGGUCGAAGCGUUAAAAUAUAGUUACAAAUUUGUUCGCUGGUUAAAUUACGAUUCCAGGAAGGUUUGCAAAUUUUGGAUCUUCCAUUAUGAGUUGAAAUAAAUAAGAAAGAAAUUAAUAAAAAACUAUUUUGCGCGUUGAAAUAAAGGUCAAGAACACACUAUGUGUGCCAUCUGUAUGUCAAUGAUUUCAUUAAUAAAUGAAUUCAAAUCCACCUUUCCAGUGUAAUUAUUUCUCAUAACAUGAAAAGUAUAUGUAUAUAAAUAAUUUUAAUUAAUUUCAAAAAAUCAAAAACUAAGCACAUAAAUUCUUUUGUGUAUUCUUUAAAUUUCUAUUGAUUGAUUAUAGAAAACAUUAAUUAACAUAUUAUAGUAUUAUAACUGGGUAUGUGAGUGUGAUAAGAAUGGAAGAAGGGAAGAAGAAAAAACAUGAUUCGGCGAUAACAUGAAAAUCAAGUUUUAUACCAAUAUACGUUAGUUAUUUUUGUGUUGUGUAUUAAUCGACAUUGGAAAGAUAGUUGAUGUAACACAAACACAUUGAAUUAGCUUGUCAUUCGAGAGAAUUAAUAAUCACUACGGAUUAAUAAGAUUAAGACGUCGUCAAGUCAUUUAAAUCAUUUGGCGAGAAGUACCAGUGAGAGAAAAAAAAUCCUCUGGAUUGUUGUAUGCGUCCCUCCGCUAAAACUUCUACAAAUUGUUUGUCAUCAAUUGUAAAAAGAAUGCACAUUUAUAAAUGUAAUUACGAUCAAUUAUUGUUAAUUUUAAGUGUUAUCAUUACACUGUAUAUUGUGAAGGGACAAAACAUAAAAUCAGACUUUGUUGUACCAACACCCCGUGGUUUCAUUUUAUCUCCUCGCGGUUUCAAAAUAUCGAUUCCAGGUAAAAGUUUGUAUAU